Molecule: ribosomal RNA, 253 nt
Filed under: uncultured bacterium
Lineage: Bacteria
Description: partial 16S ribosomal RNA
Rfam family: Bacterial small subunit ribosomal RNA
Source: RNAcentral
UACGGAGGGAGCAAACGUUGUUCGGAUUUACUGGGUGUAAAGGGUGCGUAGGCGGCCCUGUGUGUCAGAGGUGAAAUCCCACGGCUCAACCGUGGAAUUGCCUUUGAAACUGCAGGGCUUGAGUCCGAGAGGGGAAGGUGGAAUUCCUGGUGUAACGGUGAAAUGUGCAGAUAUCAGGAAGAACACCCGUGGCGAAGGCGGCCUUCUGGCUCGGAACUGACGCUGAGGCACGAAAGCUAGGGUAUCGAACGGG